UACGUAGGGUGCAAGCGUUGUCCGGAAUUAUUGGGCGUAAAGAGCUCGUAGGCGGCUUGGUAAGUCGGGUGUGAAACCCCCGGGCUCAACCCGGGGUCGCCACCCGAUACUGCUAUGGCUAGAGUCCGGUAGGGGAGCGUGGAAUUCCUGGUGUGGCGGUGAAAUGCGCAGAUAUCAGGAGGAACACCAGCGGCGAAGGCGGCGCUCUGGGCCGGUACUGACGCUGAGACGCGAAAGCGUGGGGAGCGAACAGG
This 254-nucleotide ribosomal RNA is filed under the name uncultured bacterium. RNAcentral describes it as "partial 16S ribosomal RNA". It matches the Rfam family "Bacterial small subunit ribosomal RNA", at positions 524 to 776 of the family's 1533-position model. The record is from RNAcentral.